Molecule: ribosomal RNA, 380 nt
Filed under: uncultured Alphaproteobacteria bacterium
Lineage: Bacteria; Pseudomonadati; Pseudomonadota; Alphaproteobacteria
Description: bacterial SSU rRNA
Rfam family: Bacterial small subunit ribosomal RNA
Source: RNAcentral
UACGGAGGGGGCUAGCGUUGUUCGGAAUUACUGGGCGUAAAGCGCACGUAGGCGGACGAGAAAGUCAGAGGUGAAAUCCCCAGGGCUCAACCUUGGAACUGCCUUUGAAACUUCUUGUCUUGAGGUCGAGAGAGGUGAGUGGAAUUCCAUGUGUAGCGGUGAAAUGCGUAGAUAUAUGGAGGAACACCGGUGGCGAAAGCGGCUCUCUGGCCUGUAACUGACACUGAGGCUCGAAAGCGUGGGGAGCAAACAGGAUUAGAUACCCUGGUAGUCCACGCCGUAAACGAUGAGUGCUAGAUGUAGGGAGCUAUAAGUUCUCUGUACCGCAGCUAACGCAAUAAGCACUCCGCCUGGGGAGUACGACCGCAAGGUUGAAACUC